Long non-coding RNA from Mus musculus (house mouse), 755 nucleotides. RefSeq annotates it as predicted gene, 35771. Lineage: Eukaryota; Metazoa; Chordata; Mammalia; Rodentia; Muridae. The record is from RefSeq and is a predicted model, not a curated record. The transcript is spliced from 5 exons.
AGCCUGGCCAUCUCACCAGCUCAGCUCCUGCCUGUCUCAUGUUCUCUGGGCAGCUUGCUCCUCCCAGCCUUCAUCUUCAUUCCUCUGCUCUGGCACCUGCCAGAGAAGAAACAGAUGCUCGUUUUGGCAGACCUGCUUGGCCACAGCAGGCAUGCUGCUUCUUCUCUCAUUCCUGGCAUACCCAGGCAUGAUGUCAGGGAACCCCAGGGGCCAAGGCAAACCCUUCCCAGAUAAGAUUGGUCCUCCACAGAGUCAGGCAUGAUGUUCUCCCACUACCUCUGCCCAGAAAGUCCUUCUCAAAUUCCACUCUGUCGCCUCCAGUGUCUUCAAAUCCAUGACUUGUAGUUCUUCCUCAUUGAUACCUUUACAAACAUAACCGAGACACCACGUGGGAGGCAUGUGCUGCUCUGUCUGCUCUGGGUCUACUAUCCUGACGUCAACAUUUAAUGGAACCCUCCUUCAAGCUGUGUUGCUAGAAGCUAAGUGCCCAGUCUCUCUGGGUUUCUCCUGCCAAGAUUGUCAAGCACCAAGCAUUCUGCCAGAACACGUGACGGAGUGAUGCCACCACCCUCCACUGUUUCACCCCAAUUGUUCAGGAACGACAAUGUGGCUGAAUUUCUCUGUGCCUACUAGGAAGCUUAGACAAGAGUCAUUCUCCUAUAAGGUAUAUACAACCUACAAUGGAAGACCUGGCCAUCAAGCCCUGCCUGGACCUUUUGGACUACCCAGCAGUAAUAAAUCAUGACUGCUGUAAG